UACAGAGGGUGCAAGCGUUAAUCGGAUUUACUGGGCGUAAAGCGCGCGUAGGUGGCCAAUUAAGUCAAAUGUGAAAUCCCCGAGCUUAACUUGGGAAUUGCAUUCGAUACUGGUUGGCUAGAGUAUGGGAGAGGAUGGUAGAAUUCCAGGUGUAGCGGUGAAAUGCGUAGAGAUCUGGAGGAAUACCGAUGGCGAAGGCGACCACCUGGGCUAAUACUGACACUGAGGUGCGAAAGCGUGGGGAGCAAACAGG
Molecule: ribosomal RNA, 253 nt
Filed under: uncultured Acinetobacter sp.
Lineage: Bacteria; Pseudomonadati; Pseudomonadota; Gammaproteobacteria; Moraxellales; Moraxellaceae
Description: partial 16S ribosomal RNA
Rfam family: Bacterial small subunit ribosomal RNA
Source: RNAcentral